RNAcentral lists this small RNA (51 nucleotides) under Curtobacterium sp. ER1/6. RNAcentral describes it as "ykkC-III RNA". Lineage: Bacteria; Bacillati; Actinomycetota; Actinomycetes; Micrococcales; Microbacteriaceae. The record is from RNAcentral.
GCAGGGCCUUGCCGAACCGGGUGCCCUCCUCGUCCGAGAACGCGGUGACCU